CAAGUCGUGGGGCAGCAUGUCCCGUAGCAAUACGGGAUGAUGGCGACCGGCAAACGGGUGCGGAACACGUACACAACCUUCCUUUUAGUGGGGAAUAGCCCGGGGAAACCCGGAUUAAUACCCCGUAAUAUAAUAGAGUGGCAUCACUUUAUUAUUAUAGCAGCAAUGCGCUUAAAGAUGGGUGUGCGACUGAUUAGGCAGUUGGCGGGGUAACGGCCCACCAAACCUACGAUCAGUAACUGGUGUGAGAGCACGACCAGUCACACGGGCACUGAGACACGGGCCCGACUCCUACGGGAGGCAGCAGUAAGGAAUAUUGGUCAAUGGACGCAAGUCUGAACCAGCCAUGCCGCGUGGAGGAUGAAGGUCCUCUGGAUUGUAAACUUCUUUUAUCUGGGAAGAAAUCCACGAAUUCUUUUGUGGUUGACGGUACCAGAUGAAUAAGCACCGGCUAACUCCGUGCCAGCAGCCGCGGUAAUACGGAGGGUGCAAGCGUUAUCCGGAUUCACUGGGUUUAAAGGGUGCGUAGGUGGGCAGGUAAGUCAGUGGUGAAAUCUCCGGGCUUAACUCGGAAACUGCCAUUGAUACUAUCUGUCUUGAAUACCGUGGAGGUCAGCGGAAUAUGUCAUGUAGCGGUGAAAUGCUUAGAUAUGACAUAGAACACCAAUUGCGAAGGCAGCUGGCUACACGAAUAUUGACACUGAUGCACGAAAGCGUGGGGAUCAAACAGGAUUAGAUACCCUGGUAGUCCACGCCCUAAACGAUGGAUACUCGACAUACGCGAUAUACUGUGUGUGUCUGAGCGAAAGCAUUAAGUAUCCCACCUGGGAAGUACGAUCGCAAGAUUGAAACUC
RNAcentral lists this ribosomal RNA (854 nucleotides) under uncultured Flavobacteriales bacterium. Its description in RNAcentral is "bacterial SSU rRNA". It matches the Rfam family "Bacterial small subunit ribosomal RNA", at positions 58 to 902 of the family's 1533-position model. The record is from RNAcentral. Lineage: Bacteria; Pseudomonadati; Bacteroidota; Flavobacteriia; Flavobacteriales.